AUUGAACGCUGGCGGCAGGCCUAACACAUGCAAGUCGAACGGUAGCACAGAGGAGCUUGCUCCUUGGGUGACGAGUGGCGGACGGGUGAGUAAUGUCUGGGAAACUGCCCGAUGGAGGGGGAUAACUACUGGAAACGGUAGCUAAUACCGCAUAACGUCGCAAGACCAAAGAGGGGGACCUUCGUGCCUCUUGCCAUCGGUGGUGCCCAGAUGGGGUUAGCUAGUAGGUGGGGUAACGGCUCACCUAGGCGACGAUCCCUAGCUGGUCUGAGAGGAUGACCAGCCACACUGGAACUGAGACACGGUCCAGACUCCUACGGGAGGCAGCAGUGGGGAAUAUUGCACAAUGGGCGCAAGCCUGAUGCAGCCAUGCCGCGUGUAUGAAGAAGGCCUUCGGGUUGUAAAGUACUUUCAGCGAGGAGGAAGGUGUUGAGGUUAAUAACCUCAGCAAUUGACGUUACUCGCAGAAGAAGCACCGGCUAACUCCGUGCCAGCAGCCGCCGUAA
This 506-nucleotide ribosomal RNA is filed under the name uncultured bacterium. RNAcentral's name for it is "partial 16S ribosomal RNA". It matches the Rfam family "Bacterial small subunit ribosomal RNA", at positions 30 to 523 of the family's 1533-position model. The record is from RNAcentral.